CGCUACGACGCCCAACAGGGAACCCGAAGUAGAGAGGGAUUCAGGAGCAGACCAGUUACUGCUUGGCUCCCACAAAUGGUUGCCUUGGAACUCUUUAUGGAUGAAGAGAAAACACCCACCACCACCGUUUCAUAACCCUGUACUGAAUGUGGAGACAAUAACCACCUACCCCCAAAAGGAAACUCCAGCAGGGUACAUGUAUCAAACCUAAGGUGUUGGUCAUGUAUUUUGGAUCAAUAAGUGAGGUUGUACUUUUGACUGGCUUGCAUCUUUCCUCUACCUCUAUACUCCAAGUUCCUGGCUGGCACUGGAGUUACAUCCUUAGCAUGGGCAUCAUAACCUCCAGGUGAGAUUCAGGCUUGUUUCCAAGAAGGAACCCUAACAGAAAUUCAGAAGCAUGG
Long non-coding RNA from Prionailurus viverrinus (fishing cat), 401 nucleotides. RefSeq lists it as uncharacterized. The transcript is spliced from 3 exons. The record is from RefSeq and is a predicted model, not a curated record. Lineage: Eukaryota; Metazoa; Chordata; Mammalia; Carnivora; Felidae.